RNAcentral lists this long non-coding RNA (1004 nucleotides) under Mus musculus (house mouse). Its description in RNAcentral is "predicted gene, 65450". The record is from RNAcentral. Lineage: Eukaryota; Metazoa; Chordata; Mammalia; Rodentia; Muridae.
CAGGGCCCUGUAACAGGAGCCUCGUCACACACUCCUGAAGAGGUAGAUGCUGAGAAGAAAACAUCCAUGAACUGGAUACUAAGCGUGCAACUAACAGCUCAGAGUUCCAAGUCUCUGAGUUCAUUCUGCUGGGAUUCCCAGGCAUUCAUGAAUUCCAGAUCUGGCUGUCCUUGCCUAUGGCUCUGCUUUACAUUGUAGCUCUUGGUGCUAAUCUCCUUAUCUUGAUCACCAUCUACCUUGAGCCUACCCUGCAUCAGCCAAUGUAUCAGUUUCUUGGGAUCUUGGCUGCAGUAGAUAUUGGCUUGGCUACCACCAGCAUGCCCAAAAUACUGGCCAUCUUGUGGUUUGAUGCCAAGACCAUCAGCCUCCCUGAGUGUUUUGCUCAGAUCUAUGCUAUCCACACUUUUAUGUGCAUGGAGUCAGGCGUCUUCCUAUGCAUGGCAAUAGAUAGAUAUGUAGCCAUUUGUUAUCCCCUCCAAUAUCCUUCCAUAGUCACUGAAGCUUUUGUAAUCAAGGCCACACUGUCCAUGCUGCUCAGGAAUGGCCUGUUAACCAUCCCAGUGCCUGUACUAGCUGCCCAGAGACAAUACUGCUCCAGGAAUGAAAUAGAUCACUGCCUUUGCUCUAACUUGGGGGUCAUUAGUCUGGCCUGUGAUGAUAUCACUGUUAACAGAUUCUACCAGUUGGCAUUGGCCUGGCUUGUGGUAGGAAGUGACAUGAUUCUGGUCUAUGCUUCUUACGCUUUGAUUAUUCGCUCAGUGCUGAGGCUGAACUCCACUGAGGCAGCAUCUAAGGCCCUCAGCACCUGCAGCUCCCACCUCAUCCUCAUUAUGUUUUACUACACAGCUAUUGUUAUAGUAUCUGUUACUCACCUAGCAGGAAGAAGGGUUCCCCUCAUCCCUGUUCUCCUCAAUGUGAUGCAUAUUGUCAUCCCUCCAUCCCUUAACCCCAUGGUAUAUGCCCUUAGGACACAGGAGCUGAAGGUGGGCUUCCGGAAGGUUUUU